This 433-nucleotide ribosomal RNA is filed under the name uncultured bacterium. RNAcentral describes it as "partial 16S ribosomal RNA". It matches the Rfam family "Bacterial small subunit ribosomal RNA", at positions 29 to 507 of the family's 1533-position model. The record is from RNAcentral.
AACGAACGCUGGCGGCAUGCCUAAUACAUGCAAGUCGAACGAGACCUUCGGGUCUAGUGGCGCACGGGGGCGUAACGCGGGGGAACCUGCCCUUAGGUUCGGAAUAACUCCCCGAAAGGGGUGCUAAUACCGGAUAAUGUCUUCGGACCAAAGAUUUAUCGCCUUUGGAUGGGCCCGCGUUGGAUUAGCUAGUUGGUAGGGUAAAAGCCUAUCAAGGCGACGAUCCAUAGCUGGGAUGAGAGGAUGAUCAGCCACACUGGGACUGAGACACGGCCCAGACUCCUACGGAAGGCAGCAGUGGGGAAUAUUGGACGAUGGGCGAAAGCCUGAUCCAGCAGUGCCGCGUGAGUGAUGAAGGCCUUAGGGUUGUAAAGCUCUUUUACCCGGGAUGAUAAUGACAGUACCGGGAGAAUAAGCUCCGGCUAACUCCGUG